GUGAUUAUUCAAACAGCAACAUGAAUAAAAACAACAUGACUACAUCACUUUUUGCUUUGCUUGCUUUGGUAGUUGGAGUCUAUGCUGCCCCAUUCUACAGUAGUGCCAAUAACGUUAUCCCGGAAAGCAUGCCUUCAAUAGCAGAUCACAGCUUUUCGAUUGAAGACCUGCCAAUCUUUGAUGUAGAAACUGCUGAUACCGCUGUUGAUCCCUUUGUUGAUGUACCUGUUUUCAACAAAGGUGGAUAAAGUAAUCAAUUUUUCAAAAAUAAUUGCUGGUUUGUUAUGAUUAUGGUCAAUCCGCUAAUGGUAUAAUAAAAUUCUUAUUUUUCUGCAUAA
Molecule: long non-coding RNA, 338 nt
Organism: Dalotia coriaria
Lineage: Eukaryota; Metazoa; Arthropoda; Insecta; Coleoptera; Staphylinidae
Exons: 2
Source: RefSeq, a predicted model, not a curated record